UUGGAGGGCAAGUCUGGUGCCACGCACGCCGCGGUAAUUCCAGCUCCAAUAGCGUAUAUUAAAGUUGUUGCAGUUAAAAAGCUUGUAGUUGAAUUUCGGGGUCAGCAGGUUGGUCGUGCCAAUGGUAUGAACUGGCCUUGCUGAUUCCUCCCUCUUGAUGAGACCGUAAUGCCCAUUAAUUUGGUGUUGCGGGAAUUCAGGACUGUUACUUUGAAAAAAUUAAAGUGUUUAA
This 232-nucleotide ribosomal RNA is filed under the name uncultured Sclerocystis. Its description in RNAcentral is "partial small subunit ribosomal RNA". It matches the Rfam family "Eukaryotic small subunit ribosomal RNA", at positions 548 to 778 of the family's 1831-position model. The record is from RNAcentral. Lineage: Eukaryota; Fungi; Glomeromycota; Glomeromycetes; Glomerales; Glomeraceae.